GGGGAGAUAUCUUGAGCAUGAGGGAGGUUUUCUCAGGGUGAGUCUCAAACACCAUUCCAGGUGUGCUGACCCUUGCGAUUUCCCCCAAAUGUGGGAAACUCGAC
This is a non-coding RNA of Podarcis lilfordi (Lilford's wall lizard), 104 nucleotides long. Lineage: Eukaryota; Metazoa; Chordata; Lepidosauria; Squamata; Lacertidae. The record is from the annotation of a GenBank genome assembly.